UCGUUGGGCCCCUCAAUAGGCGUUGGCGUUGGCGUUGGCGAGACACUAUCUUGUCCCGACAAGGCGGCAGGCCGCUCUGGCGUCGUGGGCAGCUAGUCUAGCACCUCGCUCAAAGCGGCAUGUCAAAUUCUGAGCCCAAGUCUUUCAGCAAACUUGCUACUAGCUUCAUUUGAUGGACUUGUGACAAUGAUGUCAUCAACAUAUAUAAAACAAAUAUAGACGUACCUGACUUAUUGUAAAUAAACAGUGAGGUUAGAGGGAAUAAAACCAAGUGCUUGAAGAUUCAGACUUAAAUGAGAGUACCAUGCUCUAGGGGCUUGCUUCAGACCAUACAUGGCUUUAUCAAGCUUGCAGAUGUGGAUAGGUGCAUUCUUGUUCUCAAAUCCAGGUGGUUGCUUCAUGUAAACUUCCUCUUCCAGAACACCAUGAAGAAACACGUUCUGCACAUGUAGCUGCCUAAGAUGCCAUCCUCUAGAUACAAUAAUGGACAAAACAAGGCGAAUAUCCUCAUAAUCCAUACCAUAUCUCUAUUUGAAACCCUUUGCAACAAGCCUAGCCCUUUAACGAUCGAUAGUACCAUCAGACUUGCGAUGAAUUCUCUACACCCACUUGCAAUCUAUCAAGUUUUUACCUUGUUGUGGAGGGACCAAGUGCCAUGUUUCAUUUUUCUGAAGUGCCAAAUACUCUUCCUCCAUAGCUUUCCUCCACCGUGUAUCGCCAAGAGCUUGCUCCAGAUUAUUCGGUUCACCUGAAGUACAUGCCAAACCAAAUUUUGUAAUAUGCUUAUAAUUAACAGGCUGCAUUACCCCUCGUUGAAGACGUGUACGGGCUUGUUUAGGAGAUGCUAUAGAGUUGCUUGGCACAGGGCAUCUGCUCAUGUGCAUGGAAGAUCCGGUACCACUAGCUGCAGCCUGCAUGGGAUCUUCUGCAUGGGAUCUUCUGCGGUUGGACAUGUGCUUGCAGACAGUGGAGUUGAUGUAGAAGAUCCUGGUACAGCAUUAUGCGACAAUGAUUGUGUUAGGAAAGCAACUUAUCUGUAUUGAAGGCCCAAGGGGCAUAUAUAUAUUACACAUGACUUGAGGUGCAAUGAAAGUAAACAUAGACUAAUAAGGACUCCUAGACUAAUACUAAUAGACUAAUAAAGACUCCUAGACUAAUACUAAUACUUCCUAACACCCCCUUCAAAUGCAAAGCGUAUGCAAUAGCAUUGCAUUUGAAGAAGUGUAAUACUAAAAAACAAUGAUAAUCCAAAUCCGCGUCUUGAGAGUGUCGUCGUAGCAUGAAGAGUCUUCAAAACUUGUCGAGUCGCCGAAGGAGAGAACGAAGAGAUGGCACAUCAGAGGUAGACACCACAUCACUUGAAGAUACAAGAUAAGUAUCAAGAGAAGAUGGGUUGUCAAAAGAAGAUAGCACAUCAAGAGAAUAAAACAUUGUGCAGAAAAUCAUAGUCCAUGACAAACGACGGAGAAAGAAGCUCGGCGGUUAAGGCACGAUGAACAUGGAUUGACAAUGCAAAGGAAGUCCAGAAAAUCCUAUAGAAAACAACAAGAGCAAAUAGGCCACAAAAGUUGUGUAGAAAGGAUCAGGACCGGAGAAAGGCUGACGGAAUAAGGUAUGGUGGACUCGCAUGGCAUGAGAAAACACAAAAUAUGAACGGAUUUGGUGGACGCAGCGGAAAAAAAAAACUAAGAAAGCACAUAGCAGACUAUGGAACGGCAACUGACAGGAGCAUCACAUAGCAGCAGGAAGCAGCAUCACGUAGCAACAGUAAGCAGCUAGUAGCAGCAUACAACCAUGCGUUGUAGCUGCAGAACGCAAGCAUUGGGCAGAGGUAGCAGCAGAAAUACAUGCUGGAAGAAGGCAGCCUUGUGCACGAUCGUGGCAAAAGGGACAGAUGGGCACAGGCGUAAGGCAGCAGCGCUUUGGUGGAACGACGAGAAGCAGCCACGGGCAUUACCUGUGUCCAUCCAGAUCAAUCUUGUUCGGCUGGAGCAGCAGCCUUCAUGCGCAGCCGAGUGCUGGCCUGAGCGAAGAGCAAGGAGGCUGACAAGAUGGCUCGGUGUCGCUCGAUCUGGAGCAGCACCGGACCUGAUGAGGGGCCGCCUCGAUCUGGAGCAGCACCGGAUCUGCGUCCACGUCUGGGGCCGCCUCGAUCUGGGCUGACUGGGGCGGCGACAGGAUCCAAGUCGUGAGGCGGCGCGACCGGAUUUGAUGAGGGGGCGGUGGCGGCUGGAUCCGAGGCAGGAGACCGGCGCGACCUGUGGCGGCGGGUCCUGGACCAGCGACGGGAGACGAGGCAGCGCGAGACGGCGAGGCAGGGAGGAGCCGACGCGGCCGGGGUGAGGGAGCACGACGGGGAGGACUGCGACGGGAGAGCAGCCAGAUCCAACCACGCAAGAAAAGCAGCGGCGACGCGCGAGAUUGGAUCGGGAGGGCGAGUUGCGGCGCCCGAAAAAAAUAACCUAAGCUCUAAUACCAUGUUAGGAAAGCAACUUAUCUGUAUUGAAGGCCCAAGGUGCAUAUAUAUUACACAUGACUUGAGGUGUAAGGAAAGUAAACAUAGACUAAUAAGGACUCCUAGACUAAUACUAAUAGACUAAUAAGGACUCCUAGACUAAUACUAAUACUUCCUAACAGAUUGCAGCCUAGGGCCGACCGGAUCUGCAUGUGACCCUGCACCAAGCGUGCGGUCCACCGUGUCUGUACCUAUCCAGCAU
This 2717-nucleotide long non-coding RNA is filed under the name Hordeum vulgare. Its description in RNAcentral is "long non-coding RNA (HVUL_LNC015647)". Lineage: Eukaryota; Viridiplantae; Streptophyta; Magnoliopsida; Poales; Poaceae. The record is from RNAcentral.